UAGGGAAUCUUCGGCAAUGGGGGCAACCCUGACCGAGCAACGCCGCGUGAGUGAAGAAGGUUUUCGGAUCGUAAAGCUCUGUUGUAAGAGAAGAACGUGUGUGAGAGUGGAAAGUUCACACAGUGACGGUAACUUACCAGAAAGGGACGGCUAACUACGUGCCAGCAGCCGUGGUAAUACGUAGGUCCCGAGCGUUGUCCGGAUUUAUUGGGCGUAAAGCGAGCGCAGGCGGUUUAAUAAGUCUGAGGUUAAAGGCAGUGGCUUAACCAUUGUUCGCUUUGGAAACUGUUAAACUUGAGUGCAGAAGGGGAGAGUGGAAUUCCAUGUGUAGCGGUGAAAUGCGUAGAUAUAUGGAGGAACACCGGUGGCGAAAGCGGCUCUCUGGUCUGUAACUGACGCUGAGGCUCGAAAGCGUGGGGAGCAAACAGG
RNAcentral lists this ribosomal RNA (429 nucleotides) under bacterium. Its description in RNAcentral is "partial 16S ribosomal RNA". It matches the Rfam family "Bacterial small subunit ribosomal RNA", at positions 355 to 776 of the family's 1533-position model. The record is from RNAcentral.